CGUGCUUAACACAUGCAGCAGUCGAGCGGUAAGGCCCUUCGGGGUACACGAGCGGCGAACGGGUGAGUAACACGUGGGUGAUCUGCCUCGUACUCUGGGAUAAGCCUGGGAAACUGGGUCUAAUACCGGAUAUGACCACGAGUCGCAUGGUUUGUGGUGGAAAGAUUUAUCGGUGCGAGAUGGGCCCGCGGCCUAUCAGCUUGUUGGUGGGGUAAUGGCCUACCAAGGCGACGACGGGUAGCCGGCCUGAGAGGGCGACCGGCCACACUGGGACUGAGACACGGCCCAGACUCCUACGGGAGGCAGCAGUGGGGAAUAUUGCACAAUGGGCGGAAGCCUGAUGCAGCGACGCCGCGUGCGGGAUGACGGCCUUCGGGUUGUAAACCGCUUUCGACAGGGACGAAGCGUGAGUGACGGUACCUGUAGAAGAAGCACCGGCCAACUACGUGCCAGCAGCCGCGGUAAUACGUAGGGUGCGAGCGUUGUCCGGAAUUACUGGGCGUAAAGAGCUUGUAGGCGGUUUGUCGCGUCGUUCGUGAAAACUUGGGGCUCAACCCCAAGCUUGCGGGCGAUACGGGCAGACUAGAGUACUGCAGGGGAGACUGGAAUUCCUGGUGUAGCGGUGAAAUGCGCAGAUAUCAGGAGGAACACCGGUGGCGAAGGCGGGUCUCUGGGCAGUAACUGACGCUGAGAAGCGAAAGCGUGGGUAGCGAACAGGAUUAGAUACCCUGGUAGUCCACGCCGUAAACGGUGGGUACUAGGUGUGGGUUUCCUUCCACGGGAUCCGUGCCGUAGCUAACGCAUUAAGUACCCCGCCUGGGGAGUACGGCCGCAGGCUAAAACUCAAA
This 848-nucleotide ribosomal RNA is filed under the name Nocardia wallacei. RNAcentral's name for it is "bacterial SSU rRNA". It matches the Rfam family "Bacterial small subunit ribosomal RNA", at positions 43 to 905 of the family's 1533-position model. The record is from RNAcentral. Lineage: Bacteria; Bacillati; Actinomycetota; Actinomycetes; Mycobacteriales; Nocardiaceae.